This 460-nucleotide ribosomal RNA is filed under the name uncultured bacterium. RNAcentral's name for it is "partial 16S ribosomal RNA". It matches the Rfam family "Bacterial small subunit ribosomal RNA", at positions 338 to 795 of the family's 1533-position model. The record is from RNAcentral.
CCUACGUGUGGCAGCAGUGAGGAAUAUUGGUCAAUGGGCGCGAGCCUGAACCAGCCAAGUCGCGUGAGGGAUGGAGGUUCUAUGGAUCGUAACCCUCUUUUAUAAGGGAAUAAAGUGUGGGACGUGUCCUAUUUUGUAUGUACCUUAUGAAUAAGCAUCGGCUAACUCCGUGCCCGCAGCCGCGGUAAUACGGAGGAUCCGAACGUUAUCCGGAUUUAUUGGGUUUAAUGGGUGCGUAGGCGGCCGUUUAAGUCAGCGUGGAAAGUCUGUGGCUCAACCAUAGAAGUGCCGUUGAAACUGGGGGGCUUGAGUAUGUUUGAGGCAGGGGGAAUGCGUGGUGUAGCGGUGAAAUGCUUAGAUAUCACGCAGAACCGCGAUGGCGAAGGCAGCCUGCCAAGCCAUGACUGACGCUGAUGCACGAAAGCGUGGGGAUCAAACAGGAUUAGAUACCCGAGUAGUC